UAGCUCAGUGGUAGAGCAUGUGCUUAUCAUGCACGAGGUCCUGGGUUCAAUCCCCAG
RNAcentral lists this transfer RNA (57 nucleotides) under Camelus dromedarius (Arabian camel). It matches the Rfam family "tRNA", at positions 8 to 63 of the family's 71-position model. From Rfam's summary of the family: Transfer RNA (tRNA) molecules are approximately 80 nucleotides in length. Their secondary structure includes four short double-helical elements and three loops (D, anti-codon, and T loops). The record is from Rfam by way of RNAcentral. RNAcentral also lists the same sequence under 1 other name. Lineage: Eukaryota; Metazoa; Chordata; Mammalia; Artiodactyla; Camelidae.